Molecule: long non-coding RNA, 611 nt
Organism: Herpailurus yagouaroundi (jaguarundi)
Lineage: Eukaryota; Metazoa; Chordata; Mammalia; Carnivora; Felidae
Exons: 2
Source: RefSeq, a predicted model, not a curated record
UUGAAACCUGGGGGGUGAUAACACCUAGAUGUGUUGCCUAGGGUCAUUUGUCCAGUUAUUUCAUUGCCGCUGAGUAGAUUUCUUGGCCUGAAGAGGAUGGCACCUAGGAAGAGAUUCUUGGCUUCUCCAGUAUUGUUGCCUUGGUAGUUCCUGGACACCAAUUUCAUCUCCACUGUGCUGUAACAACUGAUAAAAGCUCCGAGUCUCUGCUUUCUGCUUGUGCUGGAGUGUUGCUUAAAGAUACAACAAAUGUGUCAAGGCAAAAGGCAAGGAAAAAUGUUGAACUUACCUGUGUUUUCUUUUUCUCUGAGAUCCUGGCCCUCAAGUCAUGUCUGACUUGGUUGUUGUUUAUUAUCUUUCAACAAUUCAUUUUGUAUUUUGUCCAGCUUUUAUAGUUGUUCUCAAAAGCAUGGUUGGAUUGAUAGAAGCUACCCCAUCAGAGCCAGAAAUGAACAUAUUAACAAUUUUGAGAUAGAAGUUCUAUUUUUUUCUUUGGUCUCAUUUAACCUACUCAGAUAAUGAAAUCUAUGUUAACUAGGUCAUAGUACUGAAAUUAAAAUGAGAAAAACUGGGUUUCAUUCCAGAAUCAAAAAUAAAGUGUUUUGUGAUGA